Molecule: non-coding RNA, 82 nt
Organism: Ameiurus melas (black bullhead)
Lineage: Eukaryota; Metazoa; Chordata; Actinopteri; Siluriformes; Ictaluridae
Source: the annotation of a GenBank genome assembly
GGCCUGUUAGCUCAGAUGGUUAGAGCGUGGUGCUAAUAACGCCAAGGUCGCGGGUUCGAUGCUUUGAACUUAUGUACAGUUC